GGCAGCAGGCUGCGUGACAAAGUGCUGCGCGCUCCCUGCCAGCCUGCUGGGGUUAUCUAUUGACGGAGAGCAAACACCUCGCCCUCAGCCCCAAACCCUGAGCGAGAGGGACGGCCGCCAGCAGCUCGGGGACUCCUGCUUGCCCCGGCCCCUCUGCGGGCACCAGCCCCGGGGCCCUUCUCGCGCACGGUGCUCGCGUGGGCACCCCGAGCAUCUCGGCACGGCCCCCGAGCAGCCCUGGGAGGUCAGGGAUGGGCUGCAGCACCCUCCGCUCGCUGGAGCCAGCAGACUCCAGCCGGGAAAACCUGUUCCCAGGGGAGGUUACGCAAGGAGCGUGACAGGGCUCUGGCUGCUGCCCAGACCCGGGGCUGGCUCGCGGCUCACACCCAGGGGCCGGGACCUCUCCUCGCACCACCGGGGAGCCCCGAUGGCCACAGCCCCACAGCUCAGCUGGGAGCAGCGCAGGUGCAGGGGAGGGAUGGAGGGCUGGGCAAGGAUGGGGUCAGCCUUGGGAUUUUUGUGUGAGAGCAGGGUCCCCUGUGCGAGCUGCCUUGCUGGACCACGAGGGUGCACAUGGCACGGCAUGGCACGGCGUGGCAUGGCACAGCACCACCAUGGCACGGCACAGCAUGGCACGGCACAUCAGCAGGAGCCAGGCGUCCCAGCAAGGCAAAUCCCCCUGUAAGCAGUAGAUGACCACCCCCAGAAGAGGUGGGACCUGGCCCAAGGGUCCCUCCUGCCCCCCAGCACAGCCUCCUGCCGGAGCUCUGGGCCCCUGCCGCAUCUCCAGGAGGACACUGGGGGGGUCCUUGCAGGGCUGCGGGCAGAGAAUUGGGGUGCCAGGGCUACGGCCAUCAGGGGGUUGGAAGAGAAAAGGGCUGCGCCCUUGCAAGUGUCGGAUGGGUGAUUUUUAACCAAGCCACACCUCUGGCAGCAAGGAGGGCAGGCAAGGAACUGAAGCUUGUUCUCCCUGCCAAAAAGGUUUCUCUGGGUCUUUGCAGGGCAGCCUUAACACCUA
Molecule: long non-coding RNA, 1018 nt
Filed under: Anas platyrhynchos platyrhynchos (common mallard)
Lineage: Eukaryota; Metazoa; Chordata; Aves; Anseriformes; Anatidae
Description: lncRNA (ENSAPLG00000025077.1)
Source: RNAcentral